Molecule: ribosomal RNA, 614 nt
Filed under: uncultured archaeon
Lineage: Archaea
Description: bacterial SSU rRNA
Rfam family: Archaeal small subunit ribosomal RNA
Source: RNAcentral
UUCCGGUUGAUCCUGCCGGAGGUUACUGCUAUCGGUGUUCGCCUAAGCCAUGCGAGUCAUAUGUAGCAAUACAUGGCGUACUGCUCAGUAACACGUGGAUAACCUGCCCUUGGGACCGGCAUAACCCCGGGAAACUGGGGAUAAUUCCGGAUAACGCAUAUGUGCUGGAAUGCUUUAUGCGUAAAAUGGAUUCGUCUGCCCAAGGAUGGGUCUGCGGCCUAUCAGGUAGUAGUGGGUGUAAUGUACCUACUAGCCAGCGACGGGUACGGGUUGUGAGAGCAAGAGCCCGGAGAUGGAUUCUGAGACAUGAAUCCAGGCCCUACGGGGCGCAGCAGGCGCGAAAACUUUACAAUGCGGGAAACCGUGAUAAGGGGACACCGAGUGCCAGCAUCAUAUGCUGGCUGUCCAGGUGUGUAAAAUACACCUGUUAGCAAGGGCCGGGCAAGACCGGUGCCAGCCGCCGCGGUAACACCGGCGGCCCGAGUGGUGAUCGUGAUUAUUGGGUCUAAAGGGUCCGUAGCCGGUUUGGUCAGUCCUCCGGGAAAUCUGAUAGCUCAACUAUUAGGCUUUCGGGGGAUACUGCCAGACUUGGAACCGGGAGAGGCAAGAGGUAC